RNAcentral lists this ribosomal RNA (490 nucleotides) under uncultured bacterium. RNAcentral's name for it is "bacterial SSU rRNA". It matches the Rfam family "Bacterial small subunit ribosomal RNA", at positions 30 to 507 of the family's 1533-position model. The record is from RNAcentral.
AUUGAACGCUGGCGGCAUGCCUAACACAUGCAAGUCGAACGAUGACGAAACAGCUUGCUGUUUCUGAUUAGUGGCGGACGGGUGAGUAAUGUAUAGGGAUCUGCCCAAUAGUGGGGGACAACAGUUGGAAACGACUGCUAAUACCGCAUACGCUCUACGGAGGAAAAGUGGGGGACCUUUCGGGGGCCUCAUGCUAUUGGAUGAACCUAUAUCAGAUUAGCUAGUUGGUGGGGUAAAGGCCUACCAAGGCGACGAUCUGUAGCUGGUCUGAGAGGAUGAUCAGCCACACUGGGACUGAGACACGGCCCAGACUCCUACGGGAGGCAGCAGUGGGGAAUAUUGGACAAUGGGGGCAACCCUGAUCCAGCAAUGCCGCGUGUGUGAAGAAGGCCUUCGGGUUGUAAAGCACUUUCAUUGAGGAGGAAAAGCUAUGCGUUAAUACCGUAUAGCCGUGACGUUACUCAAAGAAGAAGCACCGGCUAACUCCGUG